This 492-nucleotide ribosomal RNA is filed under the name uncultured bacterium. Its description in RNAcentral is "partial 16S ribosomal RNA". It matches the Rfam family "Bacterial small subunit ribosomal RNA", at positions 29 to 507 of the family's 1533-position model. The record is from RNAcentral.
AGUGAACGCUGGCGGUAGGCCUAACACAUGCAAGUCGAACGGCAGCACAGUAAGAGCUUGCUCUUACGGGUGGCGAGUGGCGGACGGGUGAGGAAUACAUCGGAAUCUACUUUUUCGUGGGGGAUAACGUAGGGAAACUUACGCUAAUACCGCAUACGACCUACGGUUGAAAGCAGGGGAUCUUCGGACCUUGCGCGAUUGAAUGAGCCGAUGUCGGAUUAGCUGGUUGGCGGGGUAAAGGCCCACCAAGGCGACGAUCCGUAGCUGGUCUGAGAGGAUGAUCAGCCACACUGGAACUGAGACACGGUCCAGACUCCUACGGGAGGCAGCAGUGGGGAAUAUUGGACAAUGGGCGCAAGCCUGAUCCAGCCAUACCGCGUGGGUGAAGAAGGCCUUCGGGUUGUAAAGCCCUUUUGUUGGGAAAGAAAAGCAGCAGGUUAAUACCCCACUGUUCUGACGGUACCCAAAGAAUAAGCACCGGCUAACUUCGUG